UAUUCUAAAAUUUGAAGUCAAUAUAGACAAUUUUACUUAACAAAGUCCCUACUUGUCCUUCGUUUUUUAAGCAUGAGCAAGUUGCUAGAACAUAGGGAUUACAUGAGUCUCUAUUGAGGAGGAACUUGCUUUUUAGGUUAUUAUUUGAAAUGGUCUAUAGAAAUAAUGUGGAGAUUCAGGCUCUAUAAAAAAUGCCGGCCUACAUAUACAUUCUUGCAGCACAAGUGUAGUAUUUGCAUAUGAUGAUUAUUGAGUCGGAUUUUCUAUGUUAUAAUGAAAUCCCUUCUCUUGUCA
Salvia hispanica is the source of this 294-nucleotide non-coding RNA. NCBI's taxonomy places the organism in Eukaryota, Viridiplantae, Streptophyta, Magnoliopsida, Lamiales, Lamiaceae. The record is from RefSeq and is a predicted model, not a curated record.